Molecule: ribosomal RNA, 373 nt
Filed under: uncultured bacterium
Lineage: Bacteria
Description: bacterial SSU rRNA
Rfam family: Bacterial small subunit ribosomal RNA
Source: RNAcentral
GUAGGGGGCAAGCGUUGUCCGGAUUUACUGGGCGUAAAGCGCGUGUAGGCGGCCACGCAGGUCCGUUGUGAAAACUGGAGGCUCAACUUCCAGACGUCGAUGGAAACCGUGUGGCUAGAGUCCGGAAGAGGAGAGUGGAAUUCCUGGUGUAGCGGUGAAAUGCGCAGAUAUCAGGAAGAACACCAAUGGCGAAGGCAGCUCUCUGGGACGGUACUGACGCUGAGACGCGAAAGCGUGGGGAGCGAACAGGAUUAGAUACCCUGGUAGUCCACGCCGUAAACGAUGGGUGCUAGGUGUGGGAGGUGUCGACUCCUUCCGUGCCGAAGCUAACGCAUUAAGCACCCCGCCUGGGGAGUACGGCCGCAAGGCUAAA